RNAcentral lists this transfer RNA (73 nucleotides) under Ovis aries (sheep). It matches the Rfam family "tRNA". Rfam says of the family: Transfer RNA (tRNA) molecules are approximately 80 nucleotides in length. Their secondary structure includes four short double-helical elements and three loops (D, anti-codon, and T loops). Lineage: Eukaryota; Metazoa; Chordata; Mammalia; Artiodactyla; Bovidae. The record is from Rfam by way of RNAcentral.
UCCCUGGUGGUCCAGUGAGUAAGACUCUGCACUCCCAAUGCAAUGGGCCGGGAUUCGAUCCCCGGUCAGAGAA